GACGAACGCUGGCGGCGUGCUUAACACAUGCAAGUCGAACGGAAAGGCCCUGCUUUUGUGGGGUGCUCGAGUGGCGCGCGGGUGAGUAUAACGUGUGUAACAUCCCCUUGACUUUGGGAUAACUUCUGGAAACUGGGGCUCAUAUCCCAUAGGAGCUCCUGCUGCAUAGUGGGGGUUGGUCAGUUUCGGCGGUUGGGGAUGGACUGGCGGCUUAUCAGCUUGUUGGUGGGGUAGUGGCUUACCAAGGGUUUGACGGGUAGCCGGCCUGAGAGGGUGACCGGCGACAAUGGGACUGAGAUACGGCCCAGACUGGUACGGGAGGCAGCAGUGGGGAGUAUGGCAGAAUGGGCGGAAGCCUGAUGCAGCAACGCCGCGUGCGGGAUGACGGCCUACGAGUUGUAAACCACUGUCUCCUGUGACGAAGAGUGAGUGACGGUAACGGGUAAAGAAGCACCGGCUAACUACGUG
This 468-nucleotide ribosomal RNA is filed under the name uncultured bacterium. RNAcentral's name for it is "partial 16S ribosomal RNA". It matches the Rfam family "Bacterial small subunit ribosomal RNA", at positions 28 to 507 of the family's 1533-position model. The record is from RNAcentral.